This 460-nucleotide ribosomal RNA is filed under the name uncultured bacterium. RNAcentral's name for it is "partial 16S ribosomal RNA". It matches the Rfam family "Bacterial small subunit ribosomal RNA", at positions 338 to 795 of the family's 1533-position model. The record is from RNAcentral.
CCUACGGGAGGCAGCAGUGAGGAAUAUUGGUCAAUGGACGAAAGUCUGAACCAGCCAAGCAGCGUGAAGGAUGACGGCACUAUGGGUUGUAAACUUCUUUUAUAAAGGAAUAAAACGAGGCACGUGUGCCUUUUUGCAUGUACUUUAUGAAUAAGGAUCGGCUAACUCCGUGCCAGCAGCCGCGGUAAUACGGAGGAUCCGAGCGUUAUCCGGAUUUAUUGGGUUUAAAGGGAGCGUAGAUGGGUUGUUAAGUCAGUUGUGAAAGUUUGCGGCUCAACCGUAAAAUUGCAAUUGAUACUGGCAGUCUUGAGUACAGGUGAGGUAGGCGGAAUUCGUGGUGUAGCGGUGAAAUGCUUAGAUAUCACGAAGAACCCCGAUUGCGAAGGCAGCUUACUAAACUGUAACUGACAUUGAGGCUCGAAAGCGUGGGGAGCAAACAGGAUUAGAUACCCUUGUAGUC